AACGCACAUUGCGCCCGCUAGUAUUCUGGCGGGCAUGCCUGUUCGAGCGUCAUUUCAACCAUCAGGCUCUGUUAAGCCUGUGUUGGGGCCCUGCGGCUGCCGCAGCCCCCUAAAAGCAGUGGCGGGCUCGCUGUCACCUCGAGCGCAGUAGUGUAUCUCGCUCUGGGCGUGGCGGUUGGUGCUAGCCGUGAAACACUCACUAAGGUUGACCUCGGAUCAGGUAGGAAUACCCGCUGAACUUAA
Molecule: unclassified non-coding RNA, 243 nt
Filed under: uncultured Ascomycota
Lineage: Eukaryota; Fungi; Ascomycota
Description: sequence contains 5.8S rRNA gene, ITS2, 28S rRNA gene
Source: RNAcentral